Molecule: long non-coding RNA, 2817 nt
Organism: Mauremys mutica (yellowpond turtle)
Lineage: Eukaryota; Metazoa; Chordata; Testudines; Geoemydidae
Exons: 5
Source: RefSeq, a predicted model, not a curated record
UGCCGUUCUAGCCCCAGGAUUUGGAGCCUGGCUCUGGGCAAGCUGCUAGUGCCUCACAUCCUGUUGGUUUUAGGUCUUCGGCAAGUUCUUCUCGGAGAGGCAGAGAAGAUUUUUCCUCUAGACGGAGGGCAGUGCUGGCCAUCCACGACCCCCUGCUGCGUGUCAGCCAGGCUGGGCUGCUCAUCGCUUACUCCCUCCUGUGGGAAACCCAGCAGCUGCUGGGGGACAAGCCAGUCGAUUGCCCAGUGUCAUCACCCUGCGUGCUGGCUGGGUUGGGUAACUCCUCUGGUCACCACCCUCUCCAGCCUGCCUUGGGCUUGGAGCGUGAGGAGGAGGGCGAGGGACAGCAGGCAACCCUGAACAUUCACCAUCCAUCGCUCCAUCACCUAGAGCAAGAGCUCAUUGAGGAGCUGUCUGAUAACUUGCCACCCGGCGGCGUCCUCGCUAACUCCGAUUGCUGUGGGCAACCUCAGCUGCCCUGGAGCCAGAACUGGAGACCCACCUCCUUCAAGCUGCCGUGCAUGCCAUCUUCACCCUGGGCACGGAGAACACCACCAUCUAAGUCCAGGUAGAUCAUGCUACAGUCAUGGAUCGAAGAGCCAGCUGUCAUCCUGCCACACAUCAUUUUUAAUUGCCUGCAGUGGGAUGUGAAUGAAAGAGGCCAGGAUAUGUGUUUGGGGUCUCACCAGUGCUUCCCAGAGACCCCUUGUGACGGGACGGACUGGCCCCGCACUGGGACUGAGAGAGUUAACCCUUCCCUGCUGACAGAGGAAACCACACCCCUAAGGCUCUGCUGGGCAUGCUCCAACCGGGAGUCAAGCAUAAAAGCCUGCAGAACUGAUUAAUCAGGGCUGGCAGCUUGGGAAGAAGGAUGCCCUGCAGAAGCUCCAGCCCAGGAGCAGUUGCAAGGAAGGAGGGAGCUGAGGAGCCAGGAAGCGGGCCCAGAGACUGGCAGCCGUGGGAAUCCCAGGGAGCAUCGGGUGCUGAGGACCCUGAAGCCACAAGAACUGGUAUGUUUGGAGGACUGGUAGGAAGUGACCCAGGGAAGGGAAAGGAGUGGUAUCUUCCACCACUCUGAGGGCAGCAUCUUGUGGUAGGAUUCCCCGCUGACUCAUGGCGGAUAAUUGGUCUUGAUAACACUAAGUUGAGGUCCACUGGGGAACUGGAUUGUGCACUUGAGGAUAUAAUUUGUCUAGGCCUUUCAGAAAUCUUAUUGAUAUGUCAUUAGAAAACUCAGAUUGAUUAUCCACAUUAGGCUGGAAUGCAGAAACAGCUGCUAGGUUUACUCUGGCAGAACAAAUGGCCAACGCUUGACCUUUCAGGUAUAGCAGAUAUUCUAGAAUGUGUGGGAUCAAGAAGUAGGUCAGCAAAAUCCCUGAAUGACAUGACCAGAUGGAAAAAUGUCUCCACUUAGAAAGGAAAGUAGCUCUCGUGGAUGGAUUUCUACAAUUUAGAAGGACAUCCUACACCUCUUUUGAACAAGACUGCUCUCUACCAUCUAACCAUGGAGCAUCCAUGUGGUUAAAUGAAGCACUUGGAGGUUCAGGUGAAGCAGCCAAUCAUGGCCUUGGGAAAUUAAGUCCAAAACCACUGGGAACAAAAUUGGAGAUUUCAUUGACAGAUUCAUUAAUGUGGAGAACCAGUGUUGGUGGGCCCACAUUAGACCUAUGAAUAGGACUCUGACACGGUCCUGCCUGAUCUUCAGCAAGACUUCAUGAAUGAGUGGGAUUGGCAGGAAAGCACAGAGGAGCCUUUCUGACAAGGGAAACAAGAACACAUCAGUCAGGGAAUCCUGGCUGCGACCUUGCAGGGAACAGAAUUGCUGACAUUUUCUGCUGGUUCUUGUUGCAAAUAGGUCUACUUGGGGAGAUUCCCACCAUUGGAAGAUGUCUGGUCACAUCUAGGUGAAGCGACCAUUUGUGCUUGUAAAUGAUCUGCCACGGGGGUCUGCAAAACCAUUCUGCAUCCCCAGAAGGUUAGAUGCUUCAAGAUCCACCAAACUGGCACUACAGAAUUCCGAAAGACAAGUCACCUCUUAGAAGAGUGGGGGAGAUUGGGCUCCACCUUGCCUGUUGAGCUGCUGCCAUUGCAGCCAGGGAAUGCCUGAAAGAUGUGGACUCAGAAUGACAUGUUGAUCAAGAUCUUGUAAGCCAGUGUUGCAUCAGACCUUGAACCAAGGGCCUGGAGGAUGAAUAUUGAAGAUUGUAUGAAGGAAAGAGAGGAUAGGAGCAAGUCUCAGUAGGAAUAGGAGAGGGAGAUGCGCCCGGACAUAAUGGGGCUUCUCUGGCAGCAAAAACAGAUGCUGCAGACUCUUGUAGACCUACAUGUUCAACAAUCCCAGCUCACCCCUUUGGAGUCCAUGGAGAAUUCCAGUAUAGCACCUCCCUUCACUUUCCAAGACAACACUCCACUUGGCAUCAGGGUCCACAUCCCUAACCCUACCCCUCCACCCUUGGGGACAUUAAGGACAAUCACAGCUUCUCAUACACAAACCUACGAAAGCCAUGGUUGAUGUAUGUGUAGCUAAAAUAGACAUGAAUGUUCCUUCCCCUUCUUUAAGCUCUGUUAAUAUUCAAAGCUUAAAUGUAUGGAUUUGCUUUUAGCUUGCGCACAAAUUUUUUGAAGUGUUUUCGUUAGUCAAUUAAAUUCUUUUGUUUGGAAAAUAAUUCAUCUUUAUUAGUUCCCAACCUGUGCUGCAGAAUGCCUAGCGCUAGUGAAAGCACUUAUACAAUAACUACUGUGACACAACUCAUAGGAUCAGUGGCAAACAGUGUAAUAAUCAUAAAUGUACAGCAAGCACCACAAAAUUCCUAACAA